GUGCUUGCUGAGCUGUGUUUGGGACCCGGUUAGGGAGGCGGCUGGGGAAGCGCCGAGAAAGCGGAAGAGAAGGGCGGAAAGUGAAAGGAGCCGAAGAAUUGGAAAGGGAAAGAAAGAAAGGGGGUUGAGAGAAGUGUGUCGUCCUGACUGUUCCGGCAGGAAUUGGUUACAGGCGGCUGAUGUAGUGAGCCACGCGUGUCCCAGCCACAUCUGAGUAAUGAGUGGUUGCAGGGAGAGGAGGGAGGUGAGAGACUUGCAAUCCCCGCAUCCGAGGCUUUUCUCUUUCUUUUCUACCAGGUUGUUCACUGCAAUGGGUAAAAGUCCCAACCCGCGGAGGAGUAAACCAGUUGUGAGAUAGACACAGAGCCUGGAAGAGAAACCCAGGGUUAAGACGCGAGAUACCUGCAGAGGCAAAACUUGGCCACACGGGAAAUUGGAAAUCAAGAUUGUUCAGAAGUUUGUAAUGUGGUUUUCAUGUUUGAUAUUCGUUGUCUUAUUAAUAUGUGUAAAUAUUUAACUUGCAAGUGCAUAACCCACUGGUUCUGUGGUGUGGUGUGGAUACAGACCGUAUAAAACUUUUGACCAUUUCAAAAACCAGAUUUAUCAAACCUUAACAACUGUUCUGAAGGCUGUAGAGCUCUCGGCAUAUGAAGACUCCCUCAGAAUCUCUGCACUGAGACUUGUACAAACUCUCGCUGACGAAAAUUCAAUUAACUGUCAAGAAGAAAAAAGGGAAUUUUAUUUGAGCCAAGCUGGUGGUGAUAACACAGGAAGCAGUCUCAGAAAGCUCGGAGGACCAUUCUGCCUGUUAGAAGUCGAAGGCACAAUCAUAUACAUUUUUGAAACAAAGGAUCAUACAUCAAAAUGACCGACUAAUAUUUUACAUAAACUUCACCAAAGAUACAUAGUCCAGAGAAGAGAAAAGCAGUCACCAGAGAAAUCGUCCUGAUUACUGGAGCUGGACACGGAAUUGGGAGACAGACUGCCUAUGAAUUUGCCAAACUUAAAUGCAAACUGGUCCUGUGGGAUACAAAUAAGGCAUGUGGGAUCUUAAUUCCCCAACCAGGGAUCAAACCCAUGCCCCCUGAAUUUGGAAUGUGGAGUCUUAACCACUGGACCGCCAGGGAAGUCCCUGAUCUCUAUCUUAAUCAUAUGGAAAAAGUCAUAGUUUUAGCUAGUAUAUUAAAAGAGUAAGAGGUUUGCACCUAUUAAGAGAAAAAUCUUACAGUUACUGAGGCAGGUAGGGUGUCAUGGAGAAAUGGUUGGAAAGAACGAGACUGAAAGCUCACGUCUGACAGCAGGGAUGUGUCCGGAGACUAGUGGAGACCCGCCAGAAGGAUGCAGAGGCAGGGCAAAGGCCUCGACAGGCCCAACACAGAACACUCUGGACCGCAGCAAAGAAGAUAAGGGGUUAUACACAUCGGAGAAAAAAGAAUCCAUGAGCCCAAGAGGUACCUUUGAAAAGGCCAGAGGGGGAGUCAGGGAGGGAACGGUCUUCUUUAGAGAGGAUGCCAGCAGUGAAGUGUAGGCAUGCAGAAUUAGAGAACCACCAUCUGCUACCCACAAUGCCACCACUGAGCCAGAAAGAAUCCUCACUGGUGGUCAAAGUCUUUGUUAGGGAGCUGGGUAUCAGAGACAGACCACUUGGCCUGUGAUGAUGAAGGAGAAAGGGACCUUUCUCAUGGAGACAUGCCCAGACACCACUUGAACCAAGUGCCCAAACUGACAUUGUGCGUCCCCUAAUGGGAUGCAGUGGGAGGAACUCUACAUCGCCCCAGUGAUGUCCUGGACAAAAAUGUUCAAUCAGAAUUGAAUCACGAGGAAACAAUGAGGCAAAUCUAGAAUGGGGAACACUGCAGGAGACACCUGGCCUGAAGUUUUCCUAAAAGUCAGUGUGUUGAAAGACAAAGAGGGAGUGGGACAGGAGCAGUGUUCUAGACUGAAGAUAAUAUGGGAGGUGAGGAGUGUUUUCCUUGCCUUGAUGAUGCUGGUGCUUUCAUGCAUUAUAUUCAUGUCAGCCCCCAUGAAACUGUGCACCUUAGUUUGUACUUUAUUGCUUGUCAAUCAUACCUUGAUAAAUGUAUGUUUUAAAAGAGUCAGGGAAACUUUUCUAGAUUAAAAUAGCUGAAACAAAAUGACAAUGUAUGAACAUUA
Molecule: long non-coding RNA, 2154 nt
Organism: Mesoplodon densirostris (Blainville's beaked whale)
Lineage: Eukaryota; Metazoa; Chordata; Mammalia; Artiodactyla; Ziphiidae
Exons: 4
Source: RefSeq, a predicted model, not a curated record